Non-coding RNA from Aegilops tauschii subsp. strangulata, 1920 nucleotides. NCBI's taxonomy places the organism in Eukaryota, Viridiplantae, Streptophyta, Magnoliopsida, Poales, Poaceae. The record is from RefSeq and is a predicted model, not a curated record.
GUUGAAGCUGGAAACAUUUUAUAUGCACAGAAGGCACCCCCUGUAUAAAUGAUUUGUAAUUUCUCGUACUGAGAGGUCACCCUGUCAGAGAACACGCCUUAGUAAUACUGUUUGCUGCCUUGCUAUGUCCACAAGUACCCAUAGGACAAUGAUGCAGUUGUUAAAACAAGCCAUUUAGGCCGACCCCGGCUCCCUGUUGCUCUAGAACCAGACAUUUAUAUUGAGUAGGCUUAGGCCCUGUUACAGAUUUACAACUACAAAGAAUGAAGGAAACUGAGAUGCUUGAGCAUACAUGUUGCGUAGAUACUUCAGAAUAUCUUUUCUAAAUUUUAUGAAGACUAAAUUACAGAUCAAAACUUCACAAGUGCACUCAAUACUGAAAUGUUACAUCAUAAAAAAAGAUUAAGAAUGUAACAGGAAAAGGGAUUAUCUACAACCGUCAAGUGCUAAAAUGACCUUCAAUGUAGUACUGAUGUCAUUGCGGUGAUAACUGAAGGACGAAAUGGGGACUGAACUUGUUAGCUUCAUGUUAUUUGUCAGUUUCCAUUUAACCAAGUGACAAAAUGUAGCUGGUCCUCUGCGUAUCGUACAGUUUUUGCCACUCCCUGUUGCCUCAUACAGUCACGUGAUGUGUUCUAGCAUACUUUAUAUAGACUGUUUACACAGCUCAUACUCUUCAUUUUGGGGGCCAAAAGGAGGAUGGAGCUCAUCAAACUAUUUAGCUGAGCAUAGUCAGUUUGCUCCUAAGCUACGGUGCGUGUACUAGUACUAACAUACGAUGCUAUCACAGCUAGCCGCGGGAUUUCGAAGGUCGUCAUAGCUCCUAAUUUUCCUGUAGUCACUCUUUUGCAGUGGUUCUUCAACUACAAAUUUAGUUUGGUUUCCUUGUUUAUCUGCCUGUAUGGUCGUCUUCUGUGGUCAGCAUUGUGGACACAAGUGGCAACGUUAUCCAUUGCAGUUUGGAAAAGAUACAUGCCAAGGCAAAGGCAGAAAAGAAAAAGACACGAAGGCGUGGCAAGGUUAUCAAGGAGUAUACCUGGAAGUAUCCUAGAUCACGGCAUGCUUUGGUGAUAUCUUCAACCACGCAAGCUCGUAUCGCUGGAUCAAGGUUGAGAUGACCCAGGUUGAUCACUGGCAUUGGCGGCGGGUGGAGGUCAUCAGACGGGAGCUGCUCCUGAGGGACAGUCCUCGAGUCAUCAGACAUGUUGACUUAGUACUGUACAAGCACCAGAGUCCAAUUGCAGUAUCCCACUUUACUCAGAAUAGAAACAGGAUGAAGUGUUCCUCUGUGGUGCAGCAUCUACUUAUAGGCAGCUUCAUUCCAGUGCCUGCUCAUUCCAAAUAAGUGGUCAAGCCAUUCAUGUCCAUGCGUGCAUGCACUUGGCAAUAUAUAUAUAAUUAUCUGUCUAUGGGAAGCUCCUACGCGGGGCCUACGUCGGGAACAGGAAGAGCCCGACAAAAUGUGAAUAUUCAUUCAUGUCGCCCGUGUGCCGCCGCAUAGCAAAUUGGGAAUAUCUUAAUACCGCGCUCUGGGCCACUCAUUCGCUCUUUCGUCACACAUGCUCCAUCGUCCUGGUAUGCAACUGGCUGUUGUUUAGGACACAAUUAUGAAGUUGUGUCUUGGCCUAUAUAUUUCUUGCUCCUGGUAUGCAACUGGUUUUUGUUUAGGGCACAAUAAUGAAGGUAUCUCUCGGACACAAGUUGUUUCUGCCAAUGUUUCUGGUGCUGUCCAGGGUGUUGCUUCAUGGAGAGGCUGGAUGGAUUCCCUCAUUGGAAACUUCGGCUAUCCCUGCAGUGUCAGCAAAUUGGGAGUAUCUUAAUCCUACGUUCCAUGCCGCCUACUUCUUUCCUUUGUUCCUGUUAUGCAACUGGUGUUUGUUUAGGAGACACAGCAAUAAUAAAAAUAUCUUACUGAUGCAA